Long non-coding RNA from Oncorhynchus tshawytscha (Chinook salmon), 1452 nucleotides. Lineage: Eukaryota; Metazoa; Chordata; Actinopteri; Salmoniformes; Salmonidae. The record is from Ensembl.
UCCACAUACACAUAUGUGUAUUGUUAGAUAUUACUGCACUGUUGGAGCUAGAAACACAAGCAUUUCACAACACCCGCAAUAACAUCUGCUAAAUAUGUGUAUAUGACCAAUCAAAUUUGAUUUGCUACCCAAGAGAGUGCUGUUGAGGUGACUCUAGACCUUCAUUACAAAAAAUGGUUUUUAUCUAAAAAAGGAAAACAGUUUUGAAUGUUUCACUAUUUUAUUUUUAUGAAAUUCACAGAGGAAGAUGGUCCUCCCCUUCCUCCUCUGACGAGCCUCCAUUGGCCCAGAGCCAUAUUUGUUCCAGAUGCACCAUUUUAUUAUCAGAGUGUGCCAGUGUACUCCAGAUCUGAGCCCUAGGACCAUGCCUCAGGACUACCUGGCAUGAUGACUCCUUGCUGUUCCCAGUCCACCUGGCCGUGCUGCUGCUCCAGUUUCAACUGUCCUGCCUGCGGCUAUGGAACCCUGACCUGUUCACUGUGAUUAUUAUUAUUUGACCAUGCUGGUCAUUUAUGAACAUUUGAACAUCUUGGCCAUGUUCUGUUAUAAUCUCCACCCGGCCCAGCCAGAAGAGGACUGGCCACCCCUCAUAGCCUGGUUCCUCUCUAGGUUUCUUCCUAGGUUUUGGCCUUUCUAGGUAGUUUUUCCUAGCCACCGUGCUUCUACACCUGCAUUGCUUGCUGUUUGGGGUUUUAGACUGGGUUUUUGUACAGCACUUUUUGUACAGCUGAUGUAAGAAGGGCUUUAUAAAUACAUUUGCUUUAAAUGGUGGACUAUUCUUACUAGGGAGAGCCAAUAUGGCCAAAACAUAGUAUUAUCAAUCCAGUAUUUAUAUACAUCAUUGGGUACAUGUAUAUUUACAGACCACCAAAAUCAAUAUUUAUGAGUAAUUCUCCCCCCACCCACAACUUCUCACCUGAAUGCAUUUUUUAAAAACUUUGAAGUGGUUGGGAAAAGGCUGAAAUGUGGGUUGAGAGUUUCACCUUAAAGGUGAAUGCACUAAAAGUAAUUCUGGAUAAGAGCAUCUUUUAAAUGACUAUAAAAUGCCAUGUAAAUGUGAUUUAUUGUAUGCCUAUGAAAAAUGCAUCAUGCACUUUGUCUCACUAAACUAUGGAGCUAUUCCCCUCAGAGCCUGGUUCCUCUCUACCCAGUACAGCUAGUAGAGGACUGGUCACCCCUCAGAGCCUGGUUCCUCUCUAGGUUUCGUCCUAGGUUCCUGCCUUCCAGGGAGUUUUUUUUCUGUGCUUCAGUCUCUGUACGGUUCGCUCUGUUCUUCAGUCUCUGUACGGUUCGCUCUGUGCUUCAGUCUCUGUACGGUUCGCUCUGUGCUUCAGUCUCUGUACAGUUCGCUCUGUGCUUCAGUCUCUGUACGGUUCGCUCUGUGCUUCAGUCUCUGUACGGUUCGCUCUGUGCUUCAGUCUCUGUACGGUUCGCUCUGUGCUUCAGUCUCUG